GACACGACUCUCGGCAAUGGAUAUCUCGGCUCUCGCAUCGAUGAAGAGCGCAGCGAAAUGCGAUACUUGGUGUGAA
This 76-nucleotide ribosomal RNA is filed under the name Cyrtorchis injoloensis. RNAcentral describes it as "partial 5.8S ribosomal RNA". It matches the Rfam family "5.8S ribosomal RNA", at positions 1 to 71 of the family's 154-position model. From Rfam's summary of the family: 5.8S ribosomal RNA (5.8S rRNA) is a component of the large subunit of the eukaryotic ribosome. Lineage: Eukaryota; Viridiplantae; Streptophyta; Magnoliopsida; Asparagales; Orchidaceae. The record is from RNAcentral.